GUCUAAAACGACUCUCGGCAACGGAUAUCUCGGCUCUUGCAUCGAUGAAGAACGUAGCGAAAUGCGAUACUUGGUGUGAAUUGCAGAAUCCCGUGAACCAUCGAGUCUUUGAACGCAAGUUGCGCCCGAAGCCAUUAGGCCGAGGGCACGCCUGCCUGGGUGUCACUAA
Molecule: ribosomal RNA, 169 nt
Filed under: Diphysa americana
Lineage: Eukaryota; Viridiplantae; Streptophyta; Magnoliopsida; Fabales; Fabaceae
Also listed under: 9 other names
Description: 5.8S ribosomal RNA
Rfam family: 5.8S ribosomal RNA
About the family: 5.8S ribosomal RNA (5.8S rRNA) is a component of the large subunit of the eukaryotic ribosome.
Source: RNAcentral